RNAcentral lists this ribosomal RNA (497 nucleotides) under uncultured bacterium. RNAcentral's name for it is "partial 16S ribosomal RNA". It matches the Rfam family "Bacterial small subunit ribosomal RNA", at positions 28 to 507 of the family's 1533-position model. The record is from RNAcentral.
GAUGAACGCUGGCGGCGUGCCUAAUACAUGCAAGUCGAGCGAACAGACGAGGAGCUUGCUCCUCUGACGUUAGCGGCGGACGGGUGAGUAACACGUGGAUAACCUACCUAUAAGACUGGGAUAACUUCGGGAAACCGGAGCUAAUACCGGAUAAUAUAUUGAACCGCAUGGUUCAAUAGUGAAAGACGGUUUUGCUGUCACUUAUAGAUGGAUCCGCGCCGCAUUAGCUAGUUGGUAAGGUAACGGCUUACCAAGGCAACGAUGCGUAGCCGACCUGAGAGAGUGAUCGGCCACACUGGAACUGAAACACGGUCCAGACUCCUACGGGAGGCCGCAGUAGGGAAUCUUCCGCAGUAGGCGAGAGCCUGACGGAGCAACGCCGCGUGAGUGAUGAAGGUCUUCGGAUCGUAAAACUCUGUUAUUAGGGAAGAACAAAUGUGUAAGUAACUAUGCACGUAUUGACGGUACCUAAUCAGAAAGCCACGGCUAACUACGUG